RNAcentral lists this non-coding RNA (31 nucleotides) under Homo sapiens (human). The record is from RNAcentral. Lineage: Eukaryota; Metazoa; Chordata; Mammalia; Primates; Hominidae.
UGCCUAUUUCUAGCAAUCACUUCUGGUUGAA